This 253-nucleotide ribosomal RNA is filed under the name uncultured bacterium. RNAcentral's name for it is "partial 16S ribosomal RNA". It matches the Rfam family "Bacterial small subunit ribosomal RNA", at positions 524 to 776 of the family's 1533-position model. The record is from RNAcentral.
UACGUAGGGUGCGAGCGUUAAUCGGAAUUACUGGGCGUAAAGCGUGCGCAGGCGGUUAUGUAAGACAGAUGUGAAAUGCCCGGGCUUAACCUGGGAACUGCAUUUGUGACUGCAUGGCUAGAGUGUGUCAGAGGGGGGUAGAAUUCCACGUGUAGCAGUGAAAUGCGUAGAGAUGUGGAGGAACACCGAUGGCGAAGGCAGCCCCCUGGGUCAAGAUUGACGCUCAUGCACGAAAGCGUGGGGAGCAAACAGG